Molecule: ribosomal RNA, 422 nt
Filed under: uncultured bacterium
Lineage: Bacteria
Description: bacterial SSU rRNA
Rfam family: Bacterial small subunit ribosomal RNA
Source: RNAcentral
UAAGGAAUAUUGGACAAUGGAGGCAACUCUGAUCCAGCCAUGCCGCGUGAAGGAAUAAGGCCCUAUGGGUUGUAAACUUCUUUUAGACGGGACAAAACCCCUUUACGUGUAAAGGGUUGAUGGUACUGUCAGAAUAAGCAUCGGCUAACUUCGUGCCAGCAGCCGCGGUAAUACGAAGGAUGCAAGCGUUAUCCGGAAUUAUUGGGUUUAAAGGGUGCGUAGGCGGACUAAUAAGUCAGUGGUGAAAGCCUGCAGCUUAACUGCAGAAUUGCCAUUGAUACUGUUAGUCUUGAGUACAGUUGAGGUAGGCGGAAUGUGUCAUGUAGCGGUGAAAUGCUUAGAUAUGACACAGAACACCGAUUGCGAAGGCAGCUUGCUAAGCUGUAACUGACGCUGAGGCACGAAAGCGUGGGUAGCGAACA